RNAcentral lists this ribosomal RNA (535 nucleotides) under uncultured Mycobacterium sp. RNAcentral's name for it is "bacterial SSU rRNA". It matches the Rfam family "Bacterial small subunit ribosomal RNA", at positions 54 to 606 of the family's 1533-position model. Lineage: Bacteria; Bacillati; Actinomycetota; Actinomycetes; Mycobacteriales; Mycobacteriaceae. The record is from RNAcentral.
CAUGCAAGUCGAACGGAAAGGCCCUUCGGGGUACUCGAGUGGCGAACGGGUGAGUAACACGUGGGUGAUCUGCCCUGCACUUUGGGAUAAGCCUGGGAAACUGGGUCUAAUACCGGAUAGGACCACGGUCUGCAUGGAUUGUGGUGGAAAGCUUUUGCGGUGUGGGAUGGGCCCGCGGCCUAUCAGCUUGUUGGUGAGGUUACGGCUCACCAAGGCGACGACGGGUAGCCGGCCUGAGAGGGUGUCCGGCCACACUGGGACUGAGAUACGGCCCAGACUCCUACGGGAGGCAGCAGUGGGGAAUAUUGCACAAUGGGCGCAAGCCUGAUGCAGCGACGCCGCGUGAGGGAUGACGGCCUUCGGGUUGUAAACCUCUUUCGCCAGGGACGAAGCGCAAGUGACGGUACCUGGAGAAGAAGCACCGGCCAACUACGUGCCAGCAGCCGCGGUAAUACGUAGGGUGCGAGCGUUGUCCGGAAUUACUGGGCGUAAAGAGCUCGUAGGUGGUUUGUCGCGUUGUUCGUGAAAACUCACA